RNAcentral lists this long non-coding RNA (345 nucleotides) under Rattus norvegicus (Norway rat). RNAcentral's name for it is "long non-coding RNA NONRATT013106". Lineage: Eukaryota; Metazoa; Chordata; Mammalia; Rodentia; Muridae. The record is from RNAcentral.
GGACUCAGCAACAUCUCAGCCACAGCAGAUGGGUCUAGCCACAGCUCUGCCACUGAGGUGCCUGCUGUCACUGCAUGAUGCUAGCCUGCCGGGGCUCUGAAUGACACCAGCGCCUGGGAAGACAGCGGCUAAGGCACACAGAAAGAACAAAGCACUUCCGCAGGAGCCUGACUUUCAACCAGGAGUCUGAGAUGCUGAGGAUUGUCCACAUUGCUGCGUGAAUAAAACACGUCCCCUCAGAACGCAGGGUAUGAAAUUCUAGAACAUGAAAAAUGCUGUGCUUUUCAAAUUUUACUUCUUAAAGGCUCAAUUUCUGUGGUGGGAGUUGUGAAGCUGCAAACAAAU